Long non-coding RNA from Erigeron canadensis, 822 nucleotides. RefSeq lists it as uncharacterized. The transcript has 2 exons. NCBI's taxonomy places the organism in Eukaryota, Viridiplantae, Streptophyta, Magnoliopsida, Asterales, Asteraceae. The record is from RefSeq and is a predicted model, not a curated record.
GUUUCUGUAGGAGAACGCGUACUUCAAAAGUAUUUUAAUAUGGCCUUUUGUUUUUGCUCAGACAUAUUAGCGUAACAACCUUGAUAAACUCAUAAACCUUUAUAAAUAUAUAUAUGCCAUGUGACCCAUCAAUGCCAUAUAAACCUUCUUUCAUAUGCCUAUCUCCGUUACAUAAACGUUUAGGCGGAAAAAAAGUUCAAGAGAAAAAGAUGAUAAUAGUUUAUAAAACGUUUGAAUAUCCAUGCCACAUUAACGUGAAACACCAAUUCUUCAUUUUUGAAAAUUUCAUUUCGAAGUUAAUGUCGUAGAAGCUCCCAAUGUAUCGCUCUAAAAUUGCCUUUUUGCUUUUAGUCUAAUUUCCCGUGCUCUUUACCUCUUGUUGUUUUACUCUUCUGUUUUGUGUUUUGAAGUGGUAAAUUAGUUCUACCGAAAGUAUGUUGGUUUGUAUUUUUUAAGUCAAGUUGGACCAGGGCCUAACUAAUACUCUCCGCACUUUUCUGAUUCUCACAAAUACAAUAUGAGAGACGAAUCACGGUGGGACAUUUCCAACAUAAGUCAAGUCAGGUGGACUCGCUUAGCAAGUGAAGUGAUCCUAGGACGACCAUUUGCUUUGCGGGAGUUGGAGUCAUCUAUGUUGUAUCGUUGUGUAUGCAUACAAAAAUGAUGUAUAUGUAAAUUUGAUUGUCGUAAUUGGACUAUUGUUCCUGGUAAGAGUGCAUGCAUGAGAAAAAUUUGACGGUCGGCAGGUAUUGGGCAUGAAUCCUUUUCGUUUGUCGUCUCAUAUGGAAAUGGAAAUGGAAAAUGACAAGUCCUUUGUAGCGA